This 1120-nucleotide ribosomal RNA is filed under the name uncultured Gammaproteobacteria bacterium. RNAcentral describes it as "bacterial SSU rRNA". It matches the Rfam family "Bacterial small subunit ribosomal RNA", at positions 56 to 1185 of the family's 1533-position model. Lineage: Bacteria; Pseudomonadati; Pseudomonadota; Gammaproteobacteria. The record is from RNAcentral.
UGCAAGUCGAACGGUAACGAUACUAGCUUGCUAGUAGUCGACGAGUGGCGGACGGGUGAGUAACGCGUGGGAAUCUACCUAGUAGUGGGGGAUAGCCAAGGGAAACUUUGGGUAAUACCGCAUACGAUCUACGGAUGAAAGGGGGCCUCUCUUUGAAGCUCUCGCUAUUAGAUGAGCCUGCGUAAGAUUAGUUUGUUGGUGGGGUAAUGGCUCACCAAGACUACGAUCUUUAACUGGUCUGAGAGGAUGAUCAGUCACACUGGAACUGAGACACGGUCCAGACUCCUACGGGAGGCAGCAGUCGGGAAUAUUGGACAAUGGGGGAAACCCUGAUCCAGCCAUGCCGCGUGUGUGAAGAAGGCCUUAGGGUUGUAAAGCACUUUUAAUAGGGAGGAAGGCUCAGUAGUUAAUACCUACUGGGAUUGACGUUACCUGUAGAAAAAGCACCGGCUAAUCUCGUGCCAGCAGCCGCGGUAAUACGAGAGGUGCAAGCGUUAAUCGGAAUUACUGGGCGUAAAGCGAGCGUAGGCGGUUUAGUAAGUUGGAUGUGAAAGCCCCGGGCUUAACCUGGGAACUGCGUCCAAAACUGCUAAACUAGAGUAUGGUAGAGGAUGGCGGAAUUUCCUGUGUAGCGGUGAAAUGCGUAGAUAUAGGAAGGAACAUCAGUGGCGAAGGCGGCCAUCUGGACCAAUACUGACGCUCAGGCUCGAAAGCGUGGGGAGCAAACAGGAUUAGAUACCCUGGUAGUCCACGCCGUAAACGAUGUCUACUAGAAGCUCGGAACCUCGGUUCUGUUUUUCAAAGCUAACGCAUUAAGUAGACCGCCUGGGGAGUACGGCCGCAAGGUUAAAACUCAAAUGAAUUGACGGGGGCCCGCACAAGCGGUGUAGCAUGUGGUUUAAUUCGAUGCAACGCGAAGAACCUUACCUACACUUGACAUACAGAGAACUUACCAGAGAUGGUUUGGUGCCUCGGGAACUCUGAUACAGGUGCUGCAUGCUGUCGUCAGCUCGUGUGUGAGAUGUGGGUUAGUCCCGCAACGAGCGCAACCCUAUCUAGUGCUAGCAGUAUGCUGAGUACUCUAGAGACUGCCGUGAUAACCGAGAGGUGGUGACGACGU